GUUUAACAAAAACAUGUCUUUUUGAUUAUAAUUUAAAGUCUAACCUGCCCAAUGAGGAUUUAAAUGGCCGCGGUAUUUUGACCGUGCAAAGGUAGCAUAAUCAUUAGUUUUUUAAUUGAAAGCUAGAAUGAAAGGUUGGAUGAAAGAAUAACUGUCUCUAUUUAAAUUUAUUAGAAUUUUAUUUUUAAGUAAAAAAGCUUAAAUUUAUAUAAAAGACGAGAAGACCCUAUAGAGUUUUAUAUUUUGUAAAUUUUAAAUUUUUAGUAUUUUAAACAUUAAUUUUGAAUAAGUAUUUAAUUGGGGUGAUUGAAAAAUUAAUUAAACUUUUUUUGUAUUUUGACACUAAUAUGUGAUUAUUUGAUCCUUAAAUAAAGAUUAUAAGAUUAAAUUACCUUAGGGAUAACAGCGUAAUUUUUUUUAAGAGUUCUAAUCGAAAAAAAGUAUUGCGACCUCGAUGUUGGAUUAAAA
Molecule: ribosomal RNA, 468 nt
Filed under: Conotrachelus sp. SPN-022
Lineage: Eukaryota; Metazoa; Arthropoda; Insecta; Coleoptera; Curculionidae
Description: partial 16S ribosomal RNA
Rfam family: Archaeal large subunit ribosomal RNA (bases 1-158)
Source: RNAcentral